RNAcentral lists this transfer RNA (73 nucleotides) under Paramuricea clavata. It matches the Rfam family "tRNA". Rfam says of the family: Transfer RNA (tRNA) molecules are approximately 80 nucleotides in length. Their secondary structure includes four short double-helical elements and three loops (D, anti-codon, and T loops). Further hydrogen bonds mediate the characteristic L-shaped molecular structure. tRNAs have two regions of fundamental functional importance: the anti-codon, which is responsible for specific mRNA codon recognition, and the 3' end, to which the tRNAs corresponding amino acid is attached (by aminoacyl-tRNA synthetases). tRNAs cope with the degeneracy of the genetic code in two manners: having more than one tRNA (with a specific anti-codon) for a particular amino acid; and 'wobble' base-pairing, i.e. permitting non-standard base-pairing at the 3rd anti-codon position. The record is from Rfam by way of RNAcentral. Lineage: Eukaryota; Metazoa; Cnidaria; Anthozoa; Malacalcyonacea; Plexauridae.
GACCGCGUAGCUCAGUUGGCAGAGCAUUGGGCUAGUAUUCGAAAGAUCGUAGGUUCGAUUCCCACCGUGGUCA